RNAcentral lists this ribosomal RNA (253 nucleotides) under uncultured bacterium. Its description in RNAcentral is "partial 16S ribosomal RNA". It matches the Rfam family "Bacterial small subunit ribosomal RNA", at positions 524 to 776 of the family's 1533-position model. The record is from RNAcentral.
UACGAAGGGGGCUAGCGUUGCUCGGAUUGACUGGGCGUAAAGGGCGCGUAGGCGGUUCGUACAGUCAGGCGUGAAAUUCCUGGGCUCAACCUGGGGGCUGCGUUUGAUACGUGCGGACUUGAGUGCGGAAGAGGGUCGUGGAAUUCCCAGUGUAGAGGUGAAAUUCGUAGAUAUUGGGAAGAACACCGGUGGCGAAGGCGGCUAUCUGGACCGACAUUGACGCUGAGGCGCGAAAGCGUGGGGAGCAAACAGG